This 104-nucleotide small nuclear RNA is filed under the name Carlito syrichta (Philippine tarsier). The record is from RNAcentral. Lineage: Eukaryota; Metazoa; Chordata; Mammalia; Primates; Tarsiidae.
AUGCUUAAUUCAGCAGCACAUACACUAAAAUGGAAAUAAAACAGAAGAUUGGUAUGGCUUCUAUGCAAGGAUGUCACAAAAUUCAUGAAGUGUUCUAUAUUUGC